UUUCCGUAGGUGAACCUGCGGAAGGAUCAUUAUUGUAUAACCGAGGUGCGAGGGCUGUCGCUGACCCGAAAGGUCGUGCACGCCCGAGUGCCCUCACACACAUCCCUCUCACCCCUAUGUGCACCACCGCGUGGGUCCCCCUUUGGCUUGUUCGGAGGGGGGCUUACGUUUUCACACAAACUUUGUAUGCAGUGUAGAAUGUAUUUUUUGUUUUUGCGAUCACGCAAUCAAUGCAACUUUCAACAACGGAUCUCUUGGCUCUC
Molecule: unclassified non-coding RNA, 263 nt
Filed under: plant metagenome
Description: partial contains small subunit ribosomal RNA, internal transcribed spacer 1, and 5.8S ribosomal RNA
Source: RNAcentral